GGGUUAGUAGGUUGGUCAUGCCUCUGGUAUGUACUGAUCUCACUGAUUCCUCCCUCUUGACGAACUGUAAUGUCAUUAAUUUGGUGUUGCAGGAAAUCAGGACUGUUACUUUGAAAAAAUUAGAGUGUUUAAAGCAGGCUAAGGCUUGAAUACAUUAGCAUGGAAUAAUGAAAUAGGACGUUUGAUCCUAUUUUGUUGGUUUCUAGGAUUGACGUAAUGAUUAAUAGGGAUAGUUGGGGGCAUUAGUAUUCAAUUGUCAGAGGUGAAAUUCUUGGAUUUAUUGAAGACUAACUACUGCGAAAGCAUUUGCCAAGGAUGUUUUCAUUAAUCAAGAACGAAAGUUAGGGGAUCGAAGACGAUCAGAUACCGUCGUAGUCUUAACCAUAAACUAUGCCGACUAGGGAUCGGAUGAUGUUAAUUAUUUAAUGACUCAUUCGGCGCCUUACGGGAAACCAAAGUGUUUGGGUUCCGGGGGGAGUAUGGUCGCAAGGCUGAAACUUAAAGGAAUUGACGGAAGGGCACCACCAGGGGUGGAGCCUGCGGCUUAAUUUGACUCAACACGGGGAAACUCACCAGGUCCAGACAUAGUAAGGAUUGACAGAUUGAGAGC
RNAcentral lists this ribosomal RNA (610 nucleotides) under Glomus sp. ZJ. RNAcentral describes it as "SSU rRNA". It matches the Rfam family "Eukaryotic small subunit ribosomal RNA", at positions 644 to 1255 of the family's 1831-position model. The record is from RNAcentral. Lineage: Eukaryota; Fungi; Glomeromycota; Glomeromycetes; Glomerales; Glomeraceae.